AACGAACGCUGGCGGCAUGCCUAACACAUGCAAGUCGAACGAGACCUUCGGGUCUAGUGGCGCACGGGUGCGUAACGCGUGGGAACCUGCCCUUAGGUUCGGAAUAACUCCCCGAAAGGGGUGCUAAUACCGGAUAAUGUCUACGGACCAAAGAUUUAUCGCCUUUGGAUGGGCCCGCGUUGGAUUAGCUAGUUGGUAGGGUAAAAGCCUCCCAAGGCGACGAUCCAUAGCUGGUCUGAGAGGAUGAUCAGCCACACUGGGACUGAGACACGGCCCAGACUCCUACGGGAGGCAGCAGUGGGGAAUAUUGGACAAUGGGCGAAAGCCUGAUCCAGCAAUGCCGCGUGAGUGAUGAAGGCCUUAGGGUUGUAAAGCUCUUUUACCUGGGAUGAUAAUGACAGUACCGGGAGAAUAAGCUCCGGCUAACUCCGUG
Molecule: ribosomal RNA, 433 nt
Filed under: uncultured bacterium
Lineage: Bacteria
Description: partial 16S ribosomal RNA
Rfam family: Bacterial small subunit ribosomal RNA
Source: RNAcentral